RNAcentral lists this ribosomal RNA (407 nucleotides) under uncultured bacterium. RNAcentral describes it as "partial 16S ribosomal RNA". It matches the Rfam family "Bacterial small subunit ribosomal RNA", at positions 30 to 526 of the family's 1533-position model. The record is from RNAcentral.
AUUGAACGCUGGCGGCAGGCCUAACACAUGCAAGUCGAGCGGAGCGGCGGACGGGUGAGUAAUGCCAAGGAAUCUGCAUGGUAUUGGGGGAAAACGUCCGGAAACGGGAGCUAAUACCGCAUACGAUAAGAUGAGACUAGGUCGGAUUAGCUAGUUGUGGGGGUAAAGGCCUACCAAGGCGACGGUCCGUAACUGGUCUGAGAGGAUGAUCAGUCACUCUGGAACGGAGACACGGUCCAGGCUCCUACGGGAGGCAGCAGUGGGGAAUAUUGGACAAUGGGCGAAAGCCUGAUCCAGCCAUGCCGCGUGUGUGAAGAAGGUCUUCGGAUUUUAAAGCACUUUAAGUUGGGAGGCGUUACCAACAGAAUAAGCACCGGCUAACUUCGUGCCAGCCGCCGCGGUAAUAC